GCAAGUUUCACUGGAUGAUGUGGAUUAUAAUGUGCUUUUUGUGUAUGUCCUACUUUGUGGCAUUCUGUGCAAGAUUCAACUUUAAACUUGCAUUGGUCUGGGAUAUGUGGGCCCCUGCAACAAUGAGCCAGAUGGUACCC
Long non-coding RNA from Hypanus sabinus (Atlantic stingray), 140 nucleotides. RefSeq lists it as uncharacterized. The record is from RefSeq and is a predicted model, not a curated record. Lineage: Eukaryota; Metazoa; Chordata; Chondrichthyes; Myliobatiformes; Dasyatidae. The transcript has 3 exons.